RNAcentral lists this ribosomal RNA (902 nucleotides) under Phialocephala dimorphospora. Its description in RNAcentral is "LSU rRNA". It matches the Rfam family "Eukaryotic large subunit ribosomal RNA", at positions 38 to 964 of the family's 3401-position model. The record is from RNAcentral. Lineage: Eukaryota; Fungi; Ascomycota; Leotiomycetes; Helotiales; Mollisiaceae.
GCAUAUCAAUAAGCGGAGGAAAAGAAACCAACAGGGAUUGCCUCAGUAACGGCGAGUGAAGCGGCAACAGCUCAAAUUUGAAAGCUGCCAACAGGCCGCAUUUGUAAUUUGUAGAAGAUGCUUUGGGUGUCGGUCCAGUCUAAGUUCCUUGGAACAGGACGUCAUAGAGGGUGAGAAUCCCGUAUGUGAUUGGUGCCGGUACCCGUGUAAAGCUCUUUCGACGAGUCGAGUUGUUUGGGAAUGCAGCUCAAAAUGGGUGGUAAAUUUCAUCUAAAGCUAAAUAUUGGCCAGAGACCGAUAGCGCACAAGUAGAGUGAUCGAAAGAUGAAAAGCACUUUGGAAAGAGAGUUAAACAGUACGUGAAAUUGUUGAAAGGGAAGCGCUUGCAACCAGACUUGCGGGCGGUCGAUCAUCCGAGGUUCUCCCCGGUGCACUCGAUCGUUCUCAGGCCAGCAUCGGUUUCGGUGGUGGGAUAAAGGCUGUGGGAAUGUGGCCCUUCGGGGUGUUAUAGCCCACGGUGCAAUGCCGCCUACCGGGACCGAGGACCGCGCUUCGGCUAGGAUGCUGGCGUAAUGGUUGUAAGCGACCCGUCUUGAAACACGGACCAAGGAGUCUAACAUCUAUGCGAGUGUUUGGGUGUCAAACCCAUACGCGUAAUGAAAGUGAACGGAGGUAAGAGCCCUUUAGGGUGCAUUAUCGACCGAUCCUGAUGUCUUCGGAUGGAUUUGAGUAAGAGCAUAGCUGUUGGGACCCGAAAGAUGGUGAACUAUGCGUGAAUAGGGUGAAGCCAGAGGAAACUCUGGUGGAGGCUCGCAGCGGUUCUGACGUGCAAAUCGAUCGUCAAAUUUGCGUAUAGGGGGCGAAAGACUAAUCGAACCAUCUAGUAGCUGGGUUCCUGCCGA